UACGAAGGGUGCAAGCGUUAAUCGGAAUUACUGGGCGUAAAGCGCGCGUAGGUGGUUCGUUAAGUUAGGAGUGGAAGCCCCGGGCUCAACCUGGGAAUUGCUUCUAAAACUGGCGAGCUAGAGUAUGGUAGAGGGUGGUGGAAUUUCCUGUGUAGCGGUGAAAUGCGUAGAUAUAGGAAGGAACAUCAGUGGCGAAGGCGACCACCUGGACUAAUACUGACACUGAGGUGCGAAAGCGUGGGGAGCAAACAGG
This 253-nucleotide unclassified non-coding RNA is filed under the name uncultured Pseudomonadaceae bacterium. RNAcentral describes it as "contains 16S-23S intergenic spacer region". It matches the Rfam family "Bacterial small subunit ribosomal RNA", at positions 524 to 776 of the family's 1533-position model. The record is from RNAcentral. Lineage: Bacteria; Pseudomonadati; Pseudomonadota; Gammaproteobacteria; Pseudomonadales; Pseudomonadaceae.